RNAcentral lists this unclassified non-coding RNA (843 nucleotides) under Hevea brasiliensis (rubber tree). The record is from RNAcentral. Lineage: Eukaryota; Viridiplantae; Streptophyta; Magnoliopsida; Malpighiales; Euphorbiaceae.
GGUAUGGCUUGGAGCAAAUUUUUAAAAAGUCAUUAGUAGAUUAGUGUUUGAUUUGAUUUAUAAGUUAAAAAAUAACAUAAAAUCAAUCAUGAGGAAGGUAUUUUUAUGAUAGCUUGAGUACAUGAUCUUUCAGUUGGAAUUCCAGCACCGUAUGACAAGUGUACCUCCAUAUCCAGUGCGUCAGGUAACAUGAAACAGAAAUACAAUUCUUGUACCAUUAAUAAACAGAAUGGCUCAUGUUUUUUGCCCCCUAAUCCACCAAAUCAAUUCAACCAAAUCAAUUGUAAUUGCACUGUUCUUUAUUGUAUAGUUAUGUAAUUGUCCGGACCACUGCCAAAUCUUUGAAGAAUAGUCAGAACGUUAUGCGAUUGAUGUAAAUAUUGGUAGAUUGUUGGAUUACUGUUGUGAACAUAUAAAGUAAGCACUCUCUUUCCUGCAGUUAUUACUCAUAGCUAAGCAAUAAGCAUCACAAGUCUUCUAACAGCAAUGUAUUUUCUGCUCAGAAACCAUAGUCCAUCAGUAUAGUGGGGAAAGAAGUGUAACAAGAGCCUAGGGGUCACAAGUUAGGAAUGUUGCUGCCUACACCGAUGAGCUGAGCGAAAUAGAGAAUCCUUUCUGGAAAGGCAUUAAUUGCACCUUCAAGCUCUGAUACAAAAGAAAAUGUCCAUAACAGGGUAAACUAACACAAGGACUUGAAGGAUCUUGCAGGUCGACUUCUAAAUUAGCACUUGUUAGGUUGGGAACAACUAUGCACCAUUUUCAAUCAUUAGUUUUGUACUUUCUUGUGACUGGGAAGAAAAGAAACAGAGAACUUCUAAAUGCCUAAACAUUCAAAAAAGAAGU